UAUAUAAAUUUGGCAGAAAAAUGCAUUAGGUUUAGAACCUAAGAAUAGGAUUAAAUUUCCUAAUUU
This 66-nucleotide transfer RNA is filed under the name Pollicipes pollicipes. RNAcentral describes it as "tRNA-Leu". It matches the Rfam family "tRNA". From Rfam's summary of the family: Transfer RNA (tRNA) molecules are approximately 80 nucleotides in length. Their secondary structure includes four short double-helical elements and three loops (D, anti-codon, and T loops). The record is from RNAcentral. Lineage: Eukaryota; Metazoa; Arthropoda; Thecostraca; Pollicipedomorpha; Pollicipedidae.